GGGAAUCUUCCACAAUGGACGCAAGUCUGAUGGAGCAACGCCGCGUGAGUGAAGAAGGCUUUCGGGUCGUAAAACUCUGUUAUUGAAGAAGAACGUGUGUGACAGUAACUGGUCAUGCAGUGACGGUAUUCAAUCAGAAAGUCACGGCUAACUACGUGCCAGCAGCCGCGGUAAUACGUAGGUGGCAAGCGUUGUCCGGAUUUAUUGGGCGUAAAGCGAGUGCAGGCGGUCUUUUAAGUCUGAUGUGAAAGCCUUCGGCUUAACCGAAGAAGGGCAUCGGAAACUGGGAGACUUGAGUGCAGAAGAGGAGAGUGGAACUCCAUGUGUAGCGGUGAAAUGCGUAGAUAUAUGGAAGAACACCAGUGGCGAAGGCGGCUCUCUGGUCUGUAACUGACGCUGAGGCUCGAAAGCGUGGGUAGCAAACAGGAUUAGAUACCCUGGUAGUCCACGCCGUAAA
RNAcentral lists this ribosomal RNA (457 nucleotides) under uncultured bacterium. Its description in RNAcentral is "partial 16S ribosomal RNA". It matches the Rfam family "Bacterial small subunit ribosomal RNA", at positions 357 to 806 of the family's 1533-position model. The record is from RNAcentral.